GUGUCAGCAGCCGCGGUAAUACGAAGGGGGCUAGCGUUGCUCGGAAUCACUGGGCGUAAAGGGCGCGUAGGCGGCCAGAUCAGUCAGGCGUGAAAGCCCUGGGCUCAACCUGGGGACUGCGCUUGAGACGGUUUGGCUUGAGGGUGGAAGAGGCUCGCGGAAUUCCCAGUGUAGAGGUGAAAUUCGUAGAUAUUGGGAAGAACACCGGUGGCGAAGGCGGCGAGCUGGUCCAUCACUGACGCUGAGGCGCGACAGCGUGGGGAGCAAACAGGAUUAGAUACCCUGGUAGUCC
RNAcentral lists this ribosomal RNA (292 nucleotides) under uncultured bacterium. RNAcentral's name for it is "partial 16S ribosomal RNA". It matches the Rfam family "Bacterial small subunit ribosomal RNA", at positions 505 to 796 of the family's 1533-position model. The record is from RNAcentral.